Molecule: non-coding RNA, 453 nt
Organism: Pelodiscus sinensis (Chinese soft-shelled turtle)
Lineage: Eukaryota; Metazoa; Chordata; Testudines; Trionychidae
Source: RefSeq, a predicted model, not a curated record
UUUAAUGGGACAAAUUCUGAUUCUCUUACUCACGAGUAAUCCCGUUGAAGCACAUACACAGAAGGAAAGGAAUUUCCCAUAAAAUUGCCAGCAUAACAAAAUUUCAACUUGCCACUCCGUGCAGCAGCUGCAAGCUUGCAGAGCCGGGGGAAGCAGGUCCAAGCAGGGAAGCUACAGGGCACGCAUCCGUCCAGAGCUGAACCAUAGGACACAGCGCCCCCUCUGACAGAGUGCGGGAACUGCGCGUCUUCGUUCUGCUCGGAGAAAGCUGGCAGUCGCAGCUGCAUAGCCCUGCAACGUGGGGAAGGAUUCUGAGGCACAGAAAGAUGAAAUAAUUUGCACAAGGUCUCACAGCAAGUCAGUGGCAAAAUCAGAAGUAAACCCCAGAAUACUGACUACUGUGCCUUGUUCCCUGGACCAUGAUGACUCCCUUAAAACCUUUUAAAGGAUCUG